UCAGAGGAAGGAGAGGUCAACGGUAGGUCAGUAUGCCCGAAUCUCCCGGGCUACACGCGCGCUACAAAGGAUAGGACAAUGGGAUGCAAUACCGAGACGGUAACGCGAACCCGAAACCUAUUCGUAGUUCGAACUGAGGGCUGUAACUCGCCCUCACGAAGCUGGAUUCCGUAGUAAUCGCGGGUCAACAUCCCGCGGUGAAUAUGCCCCUGCUCUUU
This 218-nucleotide ribosomal RNA is filed under the name uncultured Thermoplasmatales archaeon. RNAcentral describes it as "partial 16S ribosomal RNA". It matches the Rfam family "Archaeal small subunit ribosomal RNA", at positions 1119 to 1338 of the family's 1478-position model. Lineage: Archaea; Methanobacteriati; Thermoplasmatota; Thermoplasmata; Thermoplasmatales. The record is from RNAcentral.